RNAcentral lists this ribosomal RNA (330 nucleotides) under uncultured Wolbachia sp. RNAcentral describes it as "bacterial SSU rRNA". It matches the Rfam family "Bacterial small subunit ribosomal RNA", at positions 1048 to 1378 of the family's 1533-position model. Lineage: Bacteria; Pseudomonadati; Pseudomonadota; Alphaproteobacteria; Rickettsiales; Anaplasmataceae. The record is from RNAcentral.
CCUGUCGUCAGCUCGUGUCGUGAGAUGUUGGGUUAAGUCCCGCAACGAGCGCAACCCUCAUCCUUAGUUACCAUCAGGUAAUGCUGGGGACUUUAAGGAAACUGCCAGUGAUAAACUGGAGGAAGGUGGGGAUGAUGUCAAGUCAUCAUGGCCCUUAUGGAGUGGGCUACACACGUGCUACAAUGGUGGCUACAAUGGGCUGCAAAGUCGCGAGGCUAAGCUAAUCCCUUAAAAGCCAUCUCAGUUCGGAUUGUACUCUGCAACUCGAGUGCAUGAAGUUGGAAUCGCUAGUAAUCGUGGAUCAGCACGCCACGGUGAAUACGUCUCGGG